This 77-nucleotide transfer RNA is filed under the name Deltaproteobacteria bacterium. RNAcentral describes it as "tRNA-Met". It matches the Rfam family "tRNA". From Rfam's summary of the family: Transfer RNA (tRNA) molecules are approximately 80 nucleotides in length. Their secondary structure includes four short double-helical elements and three loops (D, anti-codon, and T loops). Lineage: Bacteria; Pseudomonadati; Myxococcota; Myxococcia. RNAcentral also lists the same sequence under 2 other names. The record is from RNAcentral.
GGCGAUGUAGCUCAGACGGUUAGAGCAUGCGGCUCAUAUCCGCAGUGUCCGGGGUUCAAUUCCCUGCAUCGCCACCA